UCUCUCCUCCCAGCCCUAGCCUGUCCUCUCUCCUCCAGCCCUAGCCUGCCCUCUCCCCUGUCUUCUCUCCUCCCAGCCCUAGCCUGUCCUCUCUCCUCCAGCCCUAGCCUGUCCUCUCUCUCCCAUCCCUAGCCUGUCCUCUCUCUCCCCAGCCAUAGCCUGUCCUCUCUCCGCCCAGCCGUAGCCUGCCCUCUCCGCUGUCUUCUCUCUCCCCAGCCGUAGCCUGUCCUCUCUCCUCCUAGCCGUAGCCUGUCCUCUCUCCUCCCAGCCGUAGCCUGUCCUCUCUCCUCCUAGCCGUAGCCUGUCCUCUCUCCUCCCAGCCGUAGCCUGUCCUCUCUCCUCCCAGCCGUAGCCUGUCCUCUCUCCUCCCAGCCGUAGCCUGUCCUCUCUCCUCCCAGCCGUAGCCUGUCCACUCCCCUGUCCUCUCUCAUUCCCAGCCGUAGCCUGCCCUCGCUCCUCCCAGCCGUAGCCUGCCCUCUCUCCUCCCAGCCGUAGCCUGCCCCCUCUCCUCCCAGCCGUAGCCUGCCCUCUCUCCUCCCAGCCGUAGCCUGCCCUCUCUCCUGCCCUCUCUCCCCAGCCGUAGCCUGCCCUCUCCUUGGUCUACCAGUUAAGACACAGACAGAAUGGUUAUAGUAUUAAUUUGACUAGUUAUCUAAGUUACCUCUACAGGGCUUCAAUCCGGACCCAGUGCUCAUUGGCCAGAGCAGUGUGUGUGACUGUGUGUGUCUGUGACUGUGUGUGACUGUGUGUGUGUGUGUGUGUGUGUGUGUGUGUGUGUGUGUGUGUGUGUGUGUGUGUGUGUGUAUGUGACUGUGUGUGUGUGUGUAUAUGUGUGCCUGUGUGUGACUGUGUGUGUGUGACUGUGUGUGUGUGUUUGUGUGUGCCUGUGUGUGUGUGUGUGUGUGUGUGUGUGUGUGUGUGCCUGUGUCUGUGUGUCUGUGACUGUGUGUCUGUGACUGUGUGUGACUGUGUGUGUGCGUGCCUGUGUGUGCCUGUGUGUGUGUGUGUGUGUGUGUGUGUGUGUGUGUGUGUGUGUGUGUGUGUGUGUGUGUGUGUGUGUGUGUGUGUGUGUGUGUGUGUGUGUGGUGGUCCAGAUCAGAUGUGAUGUUAUGCAACUUUAUGAAAACACCUAAUUUCACCAAACAGUACCCUAGAGGACUCUGGGAAAAAUGUUCCUGAUAACAAACAGUUUAUCUAACGGCAACACAAACACACUCUCUCCAAAAAACAUCACACACUAUCCUUUACAUGCACUCCAAAAACAACACACACACACACCAAAAACAACACACACACACACACACACACACACCAAAAACAACACACACACACACUCUCUGGAGAGUGACUGCCCCACAAGACAACAUCUAUUUUGCGUGAGAAAGUCUGCUCGGGACGAAAUAGAAAAACAGAGUUUAAAAAUGUCCUGGAGUGAAAGGAAAGGAAUGGUCAGAAUGUUGUAUAUUAGAGACUUUCACAUUAGUUCCAACAGAAGACUGGGUGGUUAAGGUUUGGCAUUGACUCUAUGUGGUUAAGGUUAGGCAUUGACUCCACGUGGUUAAGGUUAGGCAUUGACUCCACGUGGUUAAGGUUAGGCAUUGACUCUACGUGGUUAAGGUUAGGCAUUGACUCUACGUGGUUAAGGUUAGGCAUUGACUCUACGUGGUUAAGGUUAGGCAUUGACUCUACGUGGUUAAGGUUAGGCAUUGACUCUACGUGGUUAAGGUUAGGCAUUGACUCUACGUGGUUAAGGUUAGGCAUUGACUCUACGUGGUUAAGGUUAGGCAUUGACUCUACGUGGUUAAGGUUAGGCAUUGACUCUACGUGGUUAAGGUUAGGCAUUGACUCUACGUGGUUAAGGUUAGGCAUUGACUCUACGUGGUUAAGGUUAGGCAUUGACUCUACGUGGUUAAGGUUAGGCAUUGACUCUACGUGGUUAAGGUUAGGCAUUGACUCUACGUGGUUAAGGUUAGGCAUUGAUUCUACGUGGUUAAGGUUAGGCAUUGAUUCUACGUGGUUAAGGUUUGGCAUUGACUCUAUGUGGUUAAGGUUAGGCAUUGACUCCACGUGGUUAAGGUUUGGCAUUGACUCCACGUGGUUAAGGUUAGGCAUUGACUCCACGUGGUUAAGGUUUGGCAUUGACUCCACGUGGUUAAGGUUUGGCAUUGACUCCAUGUGGUUAAGGUUUGGCAUUGACUCUAUGUGGUUAAGGUUAGGCAUUGAUUCUACGUGGUUAAGGUUUGGCAUUGACUCUAUGUGGUUAAGGUUUGGCAUUGAUUCUACGUGGUUAAGGUUUGGCAUUGACUCUAUGUGGUUAAGGUUUGGCAUUGACUCUAUGUGGUUAAGGUUUGGCAUUGACUCUAUGUGGUUAAGGUUAGGCAUUGACU
Molecule: long non-coding RNA, 2387 nt
Organism: Oncorhynchus keta (chum salmon)
Lineage: Eukaryota; Metazoa; Chordata; Actinopteri; Salmoniformes; Salmonidae
Exons: 3
Source: RefSeq, a predicted model, not a curated record